RNAcentral lists this transfer RNA (71 nucleotides) under Osteocephalus aff. subtilis DO-2022. Its description in RNAcentral is "tRNA-Tyr". It matches the Rfam family "tRNA". From Rfam's summary of the family: Transfer RNA (tRNA) molecules are approximately 80 nucleotides in length. Their secondary structure includes four short double-helical elements and three loops (D, anti-codon, and T loops). Further hydrogen bonds mediate the characteristic L-shaped molecular structure. tRNAs have two regions of fundamental functional importance: the anti-codon, which is responsible for specific mRNA codon recognition, and the 3' end, to which the tRNAs corresponding amino acid is attached (by aminoacyl-tRNA synthetases). tRNAs cope with the degeneracy of the genetic code in two manners: having more than one tRNA (with a specific anti-codon) for a particular amino acid; and 'wobble' base-pairing, i.e. permitting non-standard base-pairing at the 3rd anti-codon position. Lineage: Eukaryota; Metazoa; Chordata; Amphibia; Anura; Hylidae. The record is from RNAcentral.
GGUAAGGUGGCCGAGAGAGUAGGCAGCGGGUUGUAGCCCCGAGAACAGAGGUUCAAGUCCUCUCUUUACCA